AACGAACGCUGGCGGCAUGCCUAACACAUGCAAGUCGAACGAGACCUUCGGGUCUAGUGGCGCACGGGUGCGUAACGCGUGGGAACCUGCCCUUAGGUUCGGAAUAACUCCCCGAAAGGGGUGCUAAUACCGGAUAAUGUCUUCGGACCAAAGAUUUAUCGCCUUUGGAUGGGCCCGCGUUGGAUUAGCUAGUUGGUAGGGUAAAAGCCUACCAAGGCGACGAUCCAUAGCUGGUCUGAGAGGAUGAUCAGCCACACUGGGACUGAGACACGGCCCAACCCCCUCCGGGAGGAGGAGGUGGGGAUUAUUGGCCAUGGGGCGAAAGCUUAUUCAGGCAUUGCCGCGUGAGUGAUGAAGGCUUUAGGGUUGUAAGGCUCUUUUACCCGGAAUGAUAUGACCAGUACCGGGGGAAAAGCUCCGGCUAACUCCGUG
RNAcentral lists this ribosomal RNA (432 nucleotides) under uncultured bacterium. Its description in RNAcentral is "partial 16S ribosomal RNA". It matches the Rfam family "Bacterial small subunit ribosomal RNA", at positions 29 to 507 of the family's 1533-position model. The record is from RNAcentral.